AAUACCGCAUGGUAUUAAGGUCAAAUCUACGGAGGUUACAGAUGGGCAUGCGUGCCAUUAGCUAGAUGGUAAGGUAACGGCUUACCAUGGCAAUGAUGGCUAGGGGUUCUGCAAGGAAGGCCCCCCACACUGGUACUGAGACACGGACCAGACUCCUACGGGAGGCAGCAGUGAGGAAUAUUGGUCAAUGGAGGCAACUCUGAACCAGCCAAGCCGCGUGAAGGAAGACUGUCCUAUGGAUUGCAAACUUCUUUUGUGGCAGAAUAAACUACCGUACUUGUACGGUAUUGCAUGUAUGCCAUGAAUAAGCAUCGGCUAACUCCGUGCCAGCAGCCGCGGUAAUACGGAGGAUGCAGGCGUUAUCCGGAUUUAUUAGGUUUAAAGGGUGUUCAGGCUGCCUGGUAAGUCAGGGGUGAAAGUCGGUUGCUCAACGAUCGAAUUGCCUUUGAAACUGUCAGGCUCGAGUAUGGAUGCGGUAGGCGGAAUGUGUAGUGUAGCGGUGAAAUGCAUAGAUAUUACACAGAACACCGAUUGCGAAGGCAGCUUACCAAACCAGGCACUGACGCUGAAGCACGAAAGCGUGGGGAGCGAACAGGAUUAGAUACCCUGGUAGUCCACGCCGUAAACUUUUGCUCACUCGCUGUUGGCGAUAGACAGUCAGCGGCCAAGGGAAACCGAUAAGUGAGCCACCUGGGGAGUACGGCCGCAAGGUUGAAACUCAAAGGAAUUGACGGGGGCCCGCACAAGCGGUGGAACAUGUGGUUUAAUUCGAUGAUACGCGAGGAACCUUACCUGGGCUUAAAUGUGAAGUGCAUUGAUUGGAAACAAUCAUUUCCUUCGGGACCCUUUACAAGGUGCUGCAUGGUUGUCGUCAGCUCGUGCCGUGAGGUGUCGGGUUAAGUCCCAUAACGAGCGCAACCCCUAUUGUUAGUUACCAGCGCGUGAUGGCGGGGACUCUAGCGAAACUGCCGGUGUAAACCGCGAGGAAGGUGGGGAUGACGUCAAAUCAGCACGGCCCUUAUGUCCAGGGCUACACACGUGUUACAAUGGCCGGUACAGCGGGCAGCUAGGCAGCGAUGUCAUGCUAAUCCCGAAAGCCGGUCCCAGUUCGGAUUGGAGUCUGCAACCCGACUCCAUGAAGGUGGAUCGCUAGUAAUCGCGCAUCAGCCAUGCGCGGUGAUACGUUCCCGGCCUUGUACACAC
This 1203-nucleotide ribosomal RNA is filed under the name uncultured organism. RNAcentral describes it as "bacterial SSU rRNA". It matches the Rfam family "Bacterial small subunit ribosomal RNA", at positions 182 to 1390 of the family's 1533-position model. The record is from RNAcentral.